AAAUAGAACUUUGCAGAGAGAGUUAACAGGGCGUGAAACCGUUGAUUGGCAAACGAAUCGGAGCCACGAAGUCGCUUCGUUGUUAGUUGGGCGGAGUUCAGUUCGCGCCGAAAGACGCGGGCGUAUUCUCACGCUCAUCCAACCUUGUAAGCGUACACUGCAACUUGUUAGACGAUCAGCUGUGGGCUGAGUGACGCAGAGCGAGCAAUCGCGCUGCGGCACGCAUUGUCUGUUCGCUCGCGGUAGUAGUAGCGCAGCUGACUUCGGUCUUUUUGUGUUGCUGGCCGCGUGGCGGGUGAACUACAGCUGAAUACUGACAAGCGAAAUGAAAACCGUUGAAAAACGUUAGAGAAAAAGCGGUUGGUCACAUGGAUGUUUACACGUUCGACUGUUAGGUCUAAGCUUGGCAUUUUUGAAUUCAGACCUGCUUGCUACCAGUGGGGCAACUCCUGGUGCUUGUACGGCUUCUGUCUAAUCGGGUGUCGACUUGGCUUGGCAUCGUUCGGGCGUGAAACGAUUGAGCGUUCAUAUGAACUAAUCCGCAAUUUAAAUUGGCAGUGAGUAGGUCGGCUUUCCGAACGA
Molecule: ribosomal RNA, 582 nt
Filed under: Tetra pinnatifidae
Lineage: Eukaryota; Metazoa; Arthropoda; Arachnida; Trombidiformes; Eriophyidae
Description: partial 28S ribosomal RNA
Source: RNAcentral